UACGAAUGGGGCUAGCGUUGCUCGGAAUCACUGGGCGUAAAGCGCACGUAGGCGGACUCUUAAGUCGGUGGUGAAAUCCUGGAGCUCAACUCCAGAACUGCCUUCGAUACUGAGAGUCUCGAGUCCGGGAGAGGUGAGUGGAACUGCGAGUGUAGAGGUGAAAUUCGUAGAUAUUCGCAAGAACACCAGUGGCGAAGGCGGCUCACUGGCCCGGUACUGACGCUGAGGUGCGAAAGCGUGGGGAGCAAACAGG
RNAcentral lists this ribosomal RNA (253 nucleotides) under uncultured bacterium. RNAcentral's name for it is "partial 16S ribosomal RNA". It matches the Rfam family "Bacterial small subunit ribosomal RNA", at positions 524 to 776 of the family's 1533-position model. The record is from RNAcentral.